CCUACGGGUGGCUGCAGUGGGGAAUAUUGGACAAUGGGCGAAAGCCUGAUCCAGCAAUGCCGCGUGAGUGAUGAAGGCCUUAGGGUUGUAAAGCUCUUUUACCCGGGAAGAUAAUGACUGUACCGGGAGAAUAAGCUCCGGCUAACUCCGUGCCAGCAGCCGCGGUAAUACGGAGGGAGCUAGCGUUGUUCGGAAUUACUGGGCGUAAAGCGCACGUAGGCGGCUUUGUAAGUUAGAGGUGAAAGCCUGGAGCUCAACUCCAGAAUUGCCUUUAAGACUGCAUCGCUUGAAUCCAGGAGAGGUGAGUGGAAUUCCGAGUGUAGAGGUGAAAUUCGUAGAUAUUCGGAAGAACACCAGUGGCGAAGGCGGCUCACUGGACUGGUAUUGACGCUGAGGUGCGAAAGCGUGGGGAGCAAACAGGAUUAGAUACCCCAGUAGUC
RNAcentral lists this ribosomal RNA (440 nucleotides) under uncultured Sphingomonas sp. RNAcentral's name for it is "bacterial SSU rRNA". It matches the Rfam family "Bacterial small subunit ribosomal RNA", at positions 338 to 795 of the family's 1533-position model. Lineage: Bacteria; Pseudomonadati; Pseudomonadota; Alphaproteobacteria; Sphingomonadales; Sphingomonadaceae. The record is from RNAcentral.